AGCUCCAAUAGCGUAUAUUAAAGUUGCUGCAGUUAAAAAGCUCGUAGUUGGAUCUCGGGUACCCGGUCUAGCCCGUAUAGCUCCCGCUAAAACCGGGCUGACCCCCCAACCUUAGGGAUUCCUCCCCGGGUGCCCUUCCUUGGGUGCCUCUGAGGGGCCUCGUAGUUACUGUGAAAAAAUUAGAGUGUUCAAAGCAGGCUCAUAUGUUCGGAUAGUCGUGCAUGGAAUAACUGAAUACGUGACUGGCGCUUUUCAGUUGGUCUCGGCGACUGGUCAAAUGAUUAAGAGGGACUGCCGGGGGCAUUGGUAUGGCGGGGUUAGAGGUGAAAUUCUUGGAUCCUCGCCAGACCAACAAAAGCGAAAGCAUUUGCCAAGAAUGUCUUCA
Molecule: ribosomal RNA, 385 nt
Filed under: marine Metazoa environmental sample
Lineage: Eukaryota; Metazoa
Description: SSU rRNA
Rfam family: Eukaryotic small subunit ribosomal RNA
Source: RNAcentral